CUACGUGCCAGCAGCCGCGGUAAUACGUAGGUGGCAAGCGUUGUCCGGAAUUAUUGGGCGUAAAGCGCGCGCAGGCGGAUCAGUUAGUCUGUCUUAAAAGUUCGGGGCUUAACCCCGUGAUGGGAUGGAAACUGCUGAUCUAGAGUAUCGGAGAGGAAAGUGGAAUUCCUAGUGUAGCGGUGAAAUGCGUAGAUAUUAGGAAGAACACCAGUGGCGAAGGCGACUUUCUGGACGAAAACUGACGCUGAGGCGCGAAAGCCAGGGGAGCGAACGGGAUUAGAUACCCCGGUAGUCCUGGCCGUAAACGAUGGGUACUAGGUGUAGGAGGUAUCGACCCCUUCUGUGCCGGAGUUAACGCAAUAAGUACCCCGCCUGGGGAGUACGACCGCAAGGUUGAAACUCAAAGGAAUUGACGGGGGCCCGCACAAGCGGUGGAGUAUGUGGUUUAAUUCGACGCAACGCGAAGAACCUUACCAGGUCUU
This 482-nucleotide ribosomal RNA is filed under the name uncultured bacterium. RNAcentral describes it as "bacterial SSU rRNA". It matches the Rfam family "Bacterial small subunit ribosomal RNA", at positions 501 to 982 of the family's 1533-position model. The record is from RNAcentral.